RNAcentral lists this ribosomal RNA (1541 nucleotides) under Nostoc punctiforme CCAP 1453/9. RNAcentral describes it as "bacterial SSU rRNA". It matches the Rfam family "Bacterial small subunit ribosomal RNA". Lineage: Bacteria; Bacillati; Cyanobacteriota; Cyanophyceae; Nostocales; Nostocaceae. The record is from RNAcentral.
UCAGGAUGAACGCUGGCGGUAUGCUUAACACAUGCAAGUCGAACGGUGUCUUCGGACACAGUGGCGGACGGGUGAGUAACGCGUGAGAAUCUGGCUCUAGGUCUGGGACAACCACUGGAAACGGUGGCUAAUACCGGAUGUGCCGAGAGGUGAAAGGUUAACUGCCUAGAGAUGAGCUCGCGUCUGAUUAGCUAGUUGGAAGUGUAAUGGACUCCCAAGGCGACGAUCCAGUAGCUGGUCUGAGAGGACGAUCAGCCACACUGGGACUGAGACACGGCCCAGACUCCUACGGGAGGCAGCAGUGGGGAAUUUUCCGCAAUGGGCGAAAGCCUGACGGAGCAAUACCGCGUGAGGGAGGAAGGCUCUUGGGUCGUAAACCUCUUUUCUCAGGGAAGAACACAAUGACGGUACCUGAGGAAUAAGCAUCGGCUAACUCCGUGCCAGCAGCCGCGGUAAUACGGAGGAUGCAAGCGUUAUCCGGAAUGAUUGGGCGUAAAGCGUCCGCAGGUGGCAAUGUAAGUCUGCUGUUAAAGAGUCUAGCUCAACUAGAUAAAAGCAGUGGAAACUACAUAGCUAGAGUACGUUCGGGGCAGAGGGAAUUCCUGGUGUAGCGGUGAAAUGCGUAGAGAUCAGGAAGAACACCGGUGGCGAAGGCGCUCUGCUAGGCCGUAACUGACACUGAGGGACGAAAGCUAGGGGAGCGAAUGGGAUUAGAUACCCCAGUAGUCCUAGCCGUAAACGAUGGAUACUAGGCGUGGCUUGUAUCGACCCGAGCCGUGCCGUAGCUAACGCGUUAAGUAUCCCGCCUGGGGAGUACGCCGGCAACGGUGAAACUCAAAGGAAUUGACGGGGGCCCGCACAAGCGGUGGAGUAUGUGGUUUAAUUCGAUGCAACGCGAAGAACCUUACCAAGGCUUGACAUGUCGCGAAUCUUCUUGAAAGGGAAGAGUGCCUUCGGGAGCGCGAACACAGGUGGUGCAUGGCUGUCGUCAGCUCGUGUCGUGAGAUGUUGGGUUAAGUCCCGCAACGAGCGCAACCCUCGUUUUUAGUUGCCAGCAUUAAGUUGGGCACUCUAGAGAGACUGCCGGUGACAAACCGGAGGAAGGUGGGGAUGACGUCAAGUCAGCAUGCCCCUUACGCCUUGGGCUACACACGUACUACAAUGCUCCGGACAGAGGGCAGCAAGCAUGCGAAUGCAAGCAAAUCCCGUAAACCGGAGCUCAGUUCAGAUCGCAGGCUGCAACUCGCCUGCGUGAAGGAGGAAUCGCUAGUAAUUGCAGGUCAGCAUACUGCAGUGAAUUCGUUCCCGGGCCUUGUACACACCGCCCGUCACACCAUGGAAGCUGGUAGUGCCCGAAGUCAUUACUCCAACCAUUCGUGGAGGAGGAUGCCUAAGGCAGGACUGGUGACUGGGGUGAAGUCGUAACAAGGUAGCCGUACCGGAAGGUGUGGCUGGAUCACCUCCUUUUUAGGGAGACCUACACCCCUUACAUAUCGAAAAACAUACAGUUAAAUAGAUAGUAAGUUGGUCUAACCUAGGUC